RNAcentral lists this non-coding RNA (29 nucleotides) under Mus musculus (house mouse). The record is from RNAcentral. Lineage: Eukaryota; Metazoa; Chordata; Mammalia; Rodentia; Muridae.
UCUACAAGGAGAGGAACUUGCAGGUUAAC